Molecule: long non-coding RNA, 6878 nt
Filed under: Triticum aestivum (bread wheat)
Lineage: Eukaryota; Viridiplantae; Streptophyta; Magnoliopsida; Poales; Poaceae
Description: long non-coding RNA (TAES_LNC017185)
Rfam family: Small nucleolar RNA Z247 (bases 2523-2660)
Source: RNAcentral
UACAUACUACAUAGUCAUGAAACCAUUCAGGCUACUAUUGUUGAGACUAGCAUCUGGCCAGGAUCUCCAUCUACAAGUUGUGUCUCGUAUUAUAGCACACAGGUAGUAGCUAGUAUUUGAGAUGGAGAGGAGUACUACAGUAUGCACUCUAUCGAUGAACCUGCCUAGAGGUGAACGACUAUCUAUUUUACCAUUUAUUUUUAGAUACAGUUGUAUCAAGAAAGUGGGAUUCUUUUUGGUUGAGCAUUUAUAUGCCCGUUUUCUGACCUUACGUUCAUUACUCUGUUUCGGCAGAACGAUUAUGGCCGACAGUGGGAUUUGUUAUUCAGGACUUAAUUGGUUGCUCCAUCCAAAAAAUAACAAUAUCAGUAACAAAAGUAUCAUCAAGAAGUAGCUGUGCAGCUAUACCAAGGCCAUUUGAAAGGUCAGUCGAUCACUCUGUCACUUUCAUUUCCUUAUUCUUAGUUCAGCAUCUCAACAGUGUUUGUUGCUCCCAAACGCAGUUUACUCGCUGCUAGUUACCCUCCACACACUGGAGUCUUGGAAUGAUGAUUGGGGUCUGCCAUCCCGGCCUCAAGGGUUACACAGCCUUUCCUCACUCAUGGGAGUAGUAGUCAUGGUUUGUCCUGGUCGUUGCGUAAGGGGUGACCUCCCUGUUUCACUGCGACAGCUAGAUAUAUUACGCUUCAGUGCAGAGCUACAAGAGGGAAUGAAGAAAUUAGAAGGAACAAACCCAACUUUAGCCCAGCCCAAGGUAACUAUUAAUUCUCACCAUUUUCCUUUCUUUUCUCAAGGAAAUCGACCCCACCUAUCCUAUUACUCUAUAGUAUCAUACUAUUACUACUAAAUUUUGAAACCGGACAGGCUUGAUGGCAGAAUUACUCAUUUCCAAAGCGCAAUGUGCACGUAGAUAAACUGUGAAUCCUGGGUGCAAGUCAUGUGGCAUGUGCAAGUUGUCGGCCUAUCUGCCGGUUCGUACAUGGGUUUUUAUUUAUUUCAUUUGCAGUGCAAAAUUGUGUUGAAAUACAGCUACCUUCCUUUCCUAUACAGUUUUGGCAGCUCUCAUAUAAGCCGUGUGUUCCUACUGGUAUCAGAAAUGGACUACUGAAGUUUGCAUGUAUAGCAGCUGCUUGCAUUGCAUGGUAAACUAUGAAGACAUAGGGGACAGCCGAUUGAUUGAACUGGAGGUGAAUGGCUGUUUGUUUCUGCUUUACAGAAAUCUUAUGAAUGUGCGUUUCCUUUUAACUAAAAGUAUGACUACACACCCUAUUUUCGCUCUGUUUCUUUUAACUAAAAGUAUGCUAAAACAACACGUUUCUUUCAUGCAGUAUCAGAACAGUUUGAUUGCUUGCUCAAGCGGUACAUGACACCAUGCACCGCCAACUGCAUCUUGUGCAGAUUAUACCAUUCAAAAAAGAAAAACAUCUCGUGCAGAUUGUGGAGACUGCAUGUAUAUGUGGUGAUGUUUCACUGGCAUCCGUCAGACUUUCAGUUCCAGUUCAGCAAGUUCAAUCAUGUUGGCCAACUGAAAAUAAUGAAUUUGAGAAUUUAAAUGAGUAGUCCCCUUUGUUGUGUUCACUUUUCCGACCUUAUGAUAGAUUCAUUACUGGGAUUCUGCAGAACUAUUCACAGCCAACAAUGAAUCCAGAAGUUGGUUGUUCCAUCCAGAAAAGGAAACUGACGUGAGGCUCUGUCUUGACAUCUCGAGGGAGUCCUUUCUGUAUAAUCGACCCUAUCAAAGGUAAUUUGUUAAACCACGUAAUAUUCAGGUUCAAGGGGCGCACCACUUGGCCGGUUCAGUUGAGAUAAGUCUAGGUCUGGUUGGUUAGAGUAUAUGGUUGUAAUCUCCUCAUGUAUAUCUUAUCUCUACUUUCCUUGUAUCUCAAGAUGUAAUCUCAACAACCUUGUAUGCUUAUCAGGGAUAUGCCCCUGCCUAUAUUAACACGAAACCGUCGCCUCGAGAGAGGUACGACGUUCUCCGCUAUUUCACAUGGUAUACAGAGCCACCUCUAUCCAUCGCAUCUAGCAAAACCCAUCCAUCGCCAGCCAUGUCGUCCUCCAGCACCGUCCAGGCCUCCCUUGGGCAGCUUACAGAAAAACUCACCCGCACCAACUACGUCCUGUGGCGUGCGCAGGUGACACCGCAGCUGAGAGGGGCUGGCCUCUUCGGCUACGCCGACGGCUCCAUGCCAGAACCUGUCAAGAUCCUCGUCACGAAGGACAAAGACGGGAAAGAGGAGCAAACACCGAACCCUCUCCAUCCGAUCUGGUUCAGAGAAGGGCAGCAGGUACUUGGAUACUUGCUCAAUACUCUCACCAAAGAAGUCCUCGUGCAGGUUACCUCCAUCGCCACGCCGCACGAGCUCUGGGCGGCUCUCGCCCACAUGUUCUCAUCGCAGUCACGAGCCCGCGUCAACAACAUCUGGGUUGCUCUCUCCACGGCGCAGAAGGGGACGCAAUCUGUUGCGGCCUACUUCGCCCAGAUGAGAGCACUUGCCGAUGAGCUUGCAGCCGCCGGAAAGCCCAUCGAUGACGAUGAGCUUGUCUCCUACAUCACCGCCGGCCUCGACAUGGAGUACCAACCCCUCUUCUCCGCCAACGACGCGCGCACCGACCCAUCAGCAUCGACGACCUCUACGCUCAGAUGAGCAACUUUGAUCAGCACCUCGCUCUCUACAACAACAACUCGGGCGGGGGCUUCAAGUCAUCUGCUAACACGGUCUCUCGUGGCAGCGGUCGCGGCGGUGGCGGUUCACGCUACCAUGGACCUCCGCGCGGCAAGGGCAAGCCGCCAUCUGGUGGAAACAGCAGCGGCAACAACUCCUCUCGCGGCGGCGGCGGCGGCGGCGGCGGUGGUGGGCGGCCCUCCAGCAACAACAACAGGGGCCGCCGUGGUGGCAGGCCUCGCGCCAACCCUGAUGCGCCACGAUGCCAAAUCUGCGGCAAGCUAGGCCACACCGCCCGCGACUGCUGGUAUCGCUAUGAAGAUGACGGCGAAUCCUCACAAGAUGAGAAGGUUGCAGGCGCUGCUGAUGGCUCCUACGGCAUCGACACGAACUGGUAUGUGGAUAGUGGUGCAACUGACCACAUCACAAGCGAGCUAGAAAAGGUGACAGUUCGUGAGAAGUACCGUGGGCAAGAUCAAGUUCACACUGCCAACGGAGAAGGUAUGAGCAUUAGCCACGUUGGUCAUUCAGUGCUUAAACCCCCCCAUAGAAAUAUUGGUCUAAGAAAAAAUUUGCAUGUCCCUAGUGCCUCCAAAAAUCUCCUUUCAGUUCAUCGCAUUGCCAUUGACAACCAUGUAUUCCUUGAGUUUCAUCCAUUUUUCUUUUUGAUCAAGGAUCAGGUCACGAAGAAAACUCUGUAUCGAGGUAGAUGCAUUCGAGGGCUGUACCCGUUGAUUCCGGAGUUUAGGAGAUUGAAUAAACAAGCCUAUGGUGUCACCAAAGUCUCUUCAACACGGUAGCAUGAUAGAUUAGGGCAUGCAUCCUUUUCUUUAGUUGAACAUUUGCUUAAAAAGAAUAAGCUCCCGUUUGUUGGUGAUCGAGAUCGUGAAACAAUUUGUGAUUCAUGUCAGUGUGCUAAAAGUCAUCAAUUACCUUAUCCUGUGUCUACAAGCAUCUCCACCAAACCUCUUGAGCUCAUUUUUUCCGAUGUUUGGGGUCCUGCCCCUAAAUCAGUUGGCAGACACACGUAUUACGUAAGUUUUAUCGAUGACUAUAGCAAGUACACAUGGAUCUAUCUCAUCAAAAAGAAAUCUGAUGUUUUUCAAGUCUUUCACAACUUUCAAGCACUAGUAGAAAGAAAGUUUGAUUGCAAAAUCCUAGCUCUCCAAUCCGAUUGGGGAGGGGAGUACCGUAACCUCAACUUCUUUUUUCAGCAAAUUGGCAUAUCACACCACGUGUCAUGUCCCCAUGCUCACCAGCAAAAUGGAUCAGCUGAGUGCAAGCACAAGCAUAUAGUUGAAGUUGGCCUUGCCUUACUUGCUGCUGCCUCUAUGCCUUUGAAAUUCUGGGAUGAGGCUUUUCUCACCGCAGUCCACCUCAUAAACAUGUUGCCAAGUAGGGUCAUCAACAAUGAAUCUCCAGUAGAACGUCUCCUUCAUACAAAACCAGAUUACACAUCUCUACGAGUGUUUGGGUGUGCGUGUUGGCCGAAUCUUCGGCCAUACAACAACCGCAAACUCAUGUUCCGGUCAAAACAAUGUGUUUUCUUGGGCUAUAGUCCACAACACAAGGGUGUAAAGUGUCUUGACGUAUCCACUGGACGUGUCUAUAUUUCCCGUGAUGUUGUGUUUGAUGAAACUGUUUCCCCUUUUGCACAACUUCAUCCAAACGCCGGAGCCCUUCUUCAAAAGGAGAUUCUUCUUCUCCCUUCACAUCUCACCGGUCGUGACAAUGGGGAUGUUUUGGACACUGAUGAUCAAUUAUUGACUAAUCCUCUUACUAAUGAUGGUCUUGAGUCUUGUGAUGCAACAGAAAAAAAUUGUGCAGAAAAUGGUGACGAAAUCAGCCCAAAUCAUCAUUUUAUGCUUCCUGGACAAAACAGCAGCAGCAUCGAAGCGGAUCUCCCUCGGGAUCCAGGCGCAUCCCCCUCGGGAUCGCUCCUGCACCAGUCUGCCGUCCUGUCCCCCGCGGGAUCCGCGUCCUCCGCGCCAGGCCGAUCCGCCUCGAGCCCCGCGUCGCCACACGCCACCAGCGGCUCGGUGGACCGCCCGGUGGUCUCUCCGCGCCAACCAACCAGCACCACGCGGCGCCAACUCCAGCCGCCCGCGCCUGGUCCCGCGCCUGGCCCCGCACCUGGUCGGUUUGGCCCCGACACGCGCUGCUACGUGCGGCGGCCAUCCCGGCUGGAUACGGGUGCUGACUCCGGUGUGGAUCACGCUGUAGUCCCCGUCCCACCGGCGCAAUCAUUGCACCAUCAUGCGCCCCCUGCUGGAUCGGGAUCCUCUGCGGUGACUUCUCCUUCAUCUCCACGUGCGCCGGCCACAGAAGAUCUGGUCUGCAUGUCCUCGCCCAGCUAGCCUGCCGCCGCUCCUGGCGCUGGAUCUUCUGCGGCUCCUUCUUCACCACCUCGCACUAGGCUUCAGAGGGGAGUAACUCAACCCAAAAAUUACAGAUCUUUAGCAAAGUUUGGACUUGCUUGUGUUUCACAUGAACCAGAUAUCCCAUACUCUGUUGCAGAAGCUCUAGGCGAUCCAAAGUGGCAGAAGGCUAUGGAGGAUGAAUACAUGGCGCUCCACAAAAAUAAAACUUGGCACUUAGUUCCAGCGUGUCAAGGAAAAGGUAAAAAUGUUAUAGAUUGCAAAUGGGUCUUCAGAAUUAAAAAGAAGUCUGAUGGCACCAUAGAUCGUUAUAAGGCUAGACUAGUUGCAAAAGGCUUUAAACAAAGAUACGGUCUAGACUAUGAGGAUACCUUUAGUCCUGUAGUAAAGGCUGCUACUAUUCGUCUCAUUUUGUCUAUUGCCGUAUCCAGAGGAUGGAGUCUACGCCAGCUAGAUGUUCAGAACGCGUUUCUUCAUGGUGUUCUGGAAGAGGAAGUGUUCAUAAAACAACCUCCUGGGUUUGAAAACAGACAAAAACCCCUCCACAUAUGCAAGCUUGACAAGGCUCUAUAUGGAUUAAAACAAGCUCCUAGAGCAUGGUAUUCUCGGUUGAGUUCAAAGCUUCAAGGACUUGGGUUUGCUCCGUCCAAGUCUGACACCUCAUUGUUUAUUUUCAACAAGUCAAAUACAUCUAUAUUUGUACUUAUAUAUGUUGAUGAUAUUAUUGUCACAAGCUCAUCUGAUGAAGCUAUUUCAGCACUGCUCAAGGAUUUGAACUUUGAGUUUGCUCUUAAGGAUCUAGGAGACUUGCACUACUUCCUUGGCAUUGAAGUGAGACGAAGUGGAGAUGAGCUUCACUUGUCUCAAGAGAAGUAUGCCAUUGAUCUUGUAGCAAGAGCAGGAUUGCAAGGUUGCAAGGCAGCUCCAACACCUCUAUCCAGCUCAGAGAAACUAUCCUUAACAGAAGGGAAACUCUUGAAUCAAGAGGAUAGCACCAGGUACAGAAGUAUGGUUGGUGCACUGCAAUAUUUAACUCUGACUAGGCCUGAUAUUUCUUUUGUUGUGAACAAAGUAUGUCAGUUCCUUCAUGCACCCACUACAGUACAUUUGACAGCUGCAAAACGCAUACUUAGAUAUAUCAAGGACACUUCCAGUGUUGGACUCACCUUCACCAAGUCACCAUCAACACUUGUAAGUGCCUUUUCUGACUCUGAUUGGGCAGGUUGUCUUGAUGACAAACGCUCAACAGGUGGUUUUGCAGUGUUCUUUGGUCCAAAUUUAAUCUCAUGGUGUGCUAAGAAACAAGCUACUGUGUCUACAUCCAGCACAGAAGCAGAAUACAAAGCACUAGCAAAUGCUACUGCUGAAAUUAUUUGGGUUCAGUCAUUACUGAAAGAGCUUGGAAUACAUAGUAAACAGGCUCCAUGCUUAUGGUGUGACAAUCUGGGUGCCACCUAUCUUUCUGCUAACCCAAUAUUUCAUGCAAGAACAAAACAUAUCGAAAUAGAUUUUUACUUUGUCAGAGAAAGAGUUGCAGCAAAAAAGCUGGAUAUUCGGUUCAUUCGGUCUCAAGAUCAAGUUGCAAAUGGCUUCACUAAAGCUUUACCUACCAGAGGUUUUGAAGAAUUUAAGCGUAAUCUCAACUUGUCCAAGUUGUGAUUAUGGGAGGGUGUUAAACCACGUAAUAUUCAGGUUCAAGGGGCGCACCACUUGGCCGGUUCAGUUGAGAUAAGUCUAGGUCUGGUUGGUUAGAGUAUAUGGUUGUAAUCUCCUCAUGUAUAUCUUAUCUCUACUUUCCUUGUAUCUCAAGAUGUAAUCUCAACAACCUUGUAUG